Molecule: long non-coding RNA, 1789 nt
Filed under: Gallus gallus (chicken)
Lineage: Eukaryota; Metazoa; Chordata; Aves; Galliformes; Phasianidae
Source: RNAcentral
GCUUGGAGGAGCACUGGUCAUGGAUGAACUUCACCUUGAUGGUCUCCAUGGGGCACACCACCAUCACAGCUUCGGCCACACCAGCACCCAGCCCACAGACAAGGCCCCGCGUGCUGUCCAGCCGGCCCUGCUCAUCCCUCAUCUGGUUGCUGAGGAACUCGAACAUGCCAAACCUGACAGCUGCCUUGGGGAUGGAGCCAUACACCAGUGAGCUGAGCCCACGGUACAGCCCCCGGACACCAUGGUCACGGACAGUCUGCUUCACGCAGUCCCCAAUGCCCUUGUAGCGAGGCGGGUUGGCCUUCUCGUCCAGCUGCAGCUGUGUCUUCACAUACUCAGUGGGGAAAGUAAUGCAGAUCUCAAUGCCUCCAGCAAGGCCACCCGCCAGGAUGGCCUUGCCGGGGUGCGUCAGCUUGGCCUUGCCGGCGGGGGCAGCAGCAGCGAGGCUGCGGGGACCAGCAGGCACGAGCAUGGCCGCGGAACUCCGCGGCUGCUACGCUGCUUGCAGCCACCGCCGUAUUUCAGGGCAGAACGGCAGAGCCGCGCCCACUGAGAGGCGGUGCCGGUGGCGUCACAUCCUCAUGUCGUGCUGCGGGGCGGGACUGGGCCCUCCACCCCAGGGGGCGGCACGCAGCCUUGGCAUAGUCGUGGCACCAGUGCGGUUUUCUCCCCGUGCUCGUAACCUAUCAGAGAAGCUCCCGACGGAUGGAAGGUGGUGUCGGCCAGGCAGCACUGAGUCACUCUGCUGGCGCUGCCUUUGUCCCGCUGAAGCAAAGCAACAAACCGCUGUCUCCAAACAGAACCCCCCAGAGCUCAUUGCAACCAGACCUUGCUAUAGAAUGCCCCUAUAAACCAGUGAGGUUUUCCUAACGCUGCUCUGUGUCUGAAGGAAGGCAAAUUUGGCCUCCUGUAGACAAAGAGUGCUUUAAAGUAGUUUUGCUUCUCCAGAGCCAGUUCACCUCAAACAAUGAUAAAGGCAAAGAAAGGAGAGCCCAAAGCAGUCAUCACACACAAAUGCCUACUAUAUAGCUUUGAAGAGAAACCUAAACAUUCUCAAUUAGCACUAGAGGGAAUGGCUUCAAGCUGUGCCAGGGAAGGUUCAGGCUGGACAUGAGGAAAUACUACUUCUCUGACAGGGUGGUCAGGCACUGGAAUGGGCUGCCCAGAAAGGUGGUGGAGUCACCGACCCUGGUGGUGUUCAAAGAGCGUUUGGAUGUUGUGUUGAGGGACAUGGUUUAGGCUAGAACCAUUGGUGAAGGGCAAAUGGUUGGACUGGAUGAUCCUGUGGGUCUUUUCCAACCUUAGCGAUUCUAUUAUGCAAGCUAAAAGGGGGCCUGGGAGCACACAGGAAUGUGGGAUUCUUUCAGGUCAUGCUGAGUAGUUCCACUGGGGAUCCAUUAUCUGCCACUGGUAAUGCACCUGCACGCACUGCACCAUGUGUGCUUCUGUUCUGUGCAUGAUGCUGGGCCCACAGCCCUUCAGAAGGCAGAGGUGAAAGCUGGGUUUACAGAAGUGCUGUCUUCCUUCCCACCUGGGAAAGCAGGGAGUGCUGCAGAGAGAUGAGGCAGGAAGGAGCUGCAUUCUGCACUGUGCCAGAGCAGCCUCCUUGCUCCCAACAGGGAAUGCUGUGCAAGAAAUCGCCCCAGCUGUGCACACAGAACAUUCCUGUUGAGACUUGCAAUGCAUGCAUUUUGAGAAGUGAUUCCUGCCUCAGUAAGGCUCCAUGCACAGGCAGCCAAGUCCGUCAGUGAAAGUUAACUCCCAGCAAGUGCUAGAGCUGCAGCUCCAU